Molecule: long non-coding RNA, 4204 nt
Filed under: Homo sapiens (human)
Lineage: Eukaryota; Metazoa; Chordata; Mammalia; Primates; Hominidae
Description: HSALNT0072372
Source: RNAcentral
AGCCCAUCUGCUUCUUAAGGAUGCUGUCUAUGCCUCAUUUAUCAAUGUAUAUCUGGCACCAAAGACCUGGCUCCCCAGCUGGUACAGGAGCAACAGAAAUGCCUGGUUUCAAGGGACCAUGCAUGACUUUUAAAUGAGGAUCUUACAUUGACCACUACCGACCAAAGGCAAAGAACCAUCUCUCCUCUCUUACUGUUUCACAUCACCCCAACCCUCCAAAGGAUGCAUGGCCCUGACAUGUGAGAGGGAGAAAAUACUGACCCCGUGACCAGCAUUUGAGAUGAGGGAGGAAACAUGGCAAAUCCUUAUGGAAACUUCUACUUCCAGGGAUCUGCAUCCCAGCAAGUCUUCAUUAUGUCAUACCUGCAAGACAAGGGCCAUUUACUAUCCCUCCUCAAUGCCCUCAGCUUGUUUUCAAAUGUAUGGGCAUCCAGCAACUUCAGUAAUAAUUCCAGGGCUAUGCAACUGGACAUAUGGACUGACAUAUAGAUAACAUAAAACACUGCAUGUAUGAAAUAUUACUGAAACUUUCUGUAUUUUUGGUGACAAGAGAUUAUGAAAAUAAACUACAGAAAUGACAUUUGACCAGUGUGUCAUAAAGAAUCCAAGUGACAUUUCAAACUGUGUUAUGAAAACCCUCAACAUCUGGGUUUCUGUCUCUAAAAAGAAAAAUAAAAGGGAAAACGUGACCUAAAGGAAAAAUUUUUUGGCUCUUACAUUUCAGCAGGUGCGUGUUCAGGGCUGAGCAUCCGGAAGCCUUCCUUGAUCAUCUUGUAGAACUUAGAAUCGACCGGCAUUCCAGGAUAGGGGCUGCUUCCUGAGACACAGUUUGCAAAGCAGUGUUAAUCACAAGGAAGCAGGACACCAAUGAAACUUCAAGAAGAUGCUCUGAGUCUAAUGAAGUUGUCUUUGGCAAGGAUCAUUUUACCUAAAGAGAACAGCUCCCAAAGAAAAAUCCCAUAGGACCAGACGUCACUUUCAAACGUGUAUACACAGUUGAAAAUGCUUUCAGGUGCCAUCCACUUCACAGGUAGUCGAGCCUGUAAUAGAAGCACAACAGAGUCAAUAAUGUUAAUUCAGAAGCUCAACAAAAUUGAACAGAAGAUAUUCUUAUAGAUGCUGCUGUUGCUGAAAUGUGGAGUGAUAACUUGAGUACCAUCUCACAAAAACCUUUUACCUAUAUGAACUCAGAUGAUCCCAAUCACCUCUGAAAUACAUGGCUCACAAGUGCAUUAUCCCCAUUUUAAGAUGUGAGCACUAUGUCAGUACGGCAUGGAGAUUAAGAGCACAAACGUCAGAGACAGCCAGACAUUUUAGCCCUGGCUCCACCAUGGGCCUUAGGUAAUGCAGAGAUUUGUUAGUUUCCACUGAAUAUGUCCCUCUCCUUCCUUAAAAACAGAAACACGGCCUCUCACAAUUAGGACUACAUUUCCCAGCCUCCUUUGCAGCUAGCUAGCUGUAGUUAGGUGACUCGGUUUUGGCCACUAAGUUGUAAGUGCUGUAUAGCAGCUUCAGGAAAACCUCCUUACAAUAUAGCUGGCACGUGCCCUCUGCCCUCUCUUCUCUAGUGCAAGGGCCCCCUGCCUUCUGGAUAUGAUGGCUGGCUAUCCACCUGGUGGUCAUCUUGGACCAUGGACAUGGGGGUUACACUCAGGAAUGGCUAAGCAUGGAAAGGAAAGACUUGCCCGGGUACUCCAUGGAACCUUUAUACCAAUCCUGGUAUAAAGUCUACUCCUAGACUUCUUUUAUUUUGGGUUUUCUGUCAAAACCCAAAACUUUCUCUAAUACACUGGGAAAGUCACUAAAAUAUUUGUAAUUAAGCCUCAGUAUCUUCUUCUGUAAAACAAAAUGAAUACUUUUAAUUUUAUGAAUUGUCUUGUGGGUUAAAUAAGAUAAAAUGGGUAAAAAUGCUUAGCACCGCCUGACUCAGUGCUAUCUGAAAAAUUGCCUAGAAGAAAGGCAAGUACUUGAUAAACAGUAGUGGCUUGUGAUCCUGACUCUUUGGAGAACUCUCUCCAUUAAAGUUGAGCUAAACUUUCUGUAACUAGUCCUUUUAGAUGCAUUCUGGAUUCCCAAUCUUAAUCUGCCAUAAAAAGCUAAAUCAAUCCUUCUCUUAAUCCAUUUAGGAUUGAAAACUGGGAAAGCUUUUUUUUUUUUUCUUUUUUUUUUUUGGUGUUAAAGUUAUUUUAGUCAGCUUACAAAAACAAAACAAAAAACUUCCAAUAUCCCUUCCCUUCCUAGAUGUUGUGCUAAAGUUCCUAUAAGGGCUCCUAACCUGAGAUCUAUGGGUGUCAAAUUCAGGGGCCUGUGAACUUGGAAAGGAAAAAUGACAUCCUUAUUUUCGCUAAUUUCUAGAUGAAAUUUAGCAUUUCUUUAAAUUACUAACAAAGGUGAUAAAACGCAGUAGUAUCAGCUGUACCUGUGACUUUGUCAUGAACAGUAAUCAUAAAUAUCUUCAUAUCCUAUUAAGUCUUUAUAGGUAUCUCAAAAUCAUAUUUACAUUAAUCACCACUCUAAAAUUACAGUGGUUUUUAGAAAAAAUAGCAAAACCCACAAUUACUUUUACACCAACCUAACAGAGCCUGUUACACUCUAUAGUAAACACAUGUACUGACAUAUCACAAAUUUACUUAGUAUCUUCAUAGCUAUUUCGAUUUAACUGUUUUCCUUGGUAUUCCUAUGUAUUUCAUCAUAGGCGUUGAAAACAGUGUUCUGAUAAGGGUCCCAUAGGCUUUACCAGGCUCUAAAAGGGGCCAUGACAUGAAAAACAAUGAAGAACUCAUGUGAAAGGAAAGAACUUCAGAGAACCUGACACAACAAGGAGAUCUCAAAUGAUGAUGACAAAAAUGUGGGGCGGUAACAUAUAUGAGUUUCCUUCUUCUUAUCUUGUUCCAGAAAUUCUCCUUACCCACUAGCCUGGUGAAAGCGAGAUCUGUGAUUGGUUAGUUCAACUGACUUGAACUGGAGUCUACAAUCUGGAAGCCUGAUAGAGCCAACCCCUCUUUGUCAUUUCAAACUAAGGUCACUAACCAAUAACAAGACAGUAUGUAACCACCGUCACGAUUAUUUAGAUCGUAAAUAAGACAUCUAUAAAGAAUAGUAACAAUAUGUCUGGCACUGUCAUAAGCACUUUACAUAUAUUAACUCAUAACUUUCUGAGUCAGGAAUCACUAUUAUUCCCAAGGGGAGAAAAACAAAGAUUCAGAGGUAUUGGACAACUCUUGACAAAAUUACACAGGCAUGAAAUAAUGGAGACAGAUUGCAGAAUUCAUCAAGACUGGGCCUGGAGGCGGCCACCUUCUUCCUCCUCCCUUUGGUCAAUAUUCAGAGGACUGGAUAAUUAACGACUUAUCAUUCUUCCUUCCAAAAUUGCACCAGGAUGAAGAGAAGUUGUUUUUAUUAUCACUCCUGAUGAUAAUAUCUAGCUUCAGGGCAGCCUUUUCAGAAAUUCAUGCUUUGGCCAGGAGAUAAACACAGAAACACUCUUACAAAACCAAAUCGAGUACAGGCUACCAAUAGAGACGCCACAGUGAUGGGGGGAAAACAUUACAUUAUCAUAAGGGGCACAAAAAUCCACCUCCAGGAAUAAAUCUGGACUGCAGAAAUGGGCCCAGGAAGACAGGCAGAGAAUAUUAUAAAGGGCAAUAUGGUUUUCCAUGGCGAUGGGAUGCCACUCUGGAAAUCACAGGCUCUAGUUUCAGCCUCUAUUGUCCUGUGUCACCUCAGAUAAAAAGCACUAAAAUAUGCCAUGCCUUAGUUUCUCCAACUUUUAAAAUAGGAAGGUGCUGCAAUUAUAGGACAAGGGUUUGUUCUGAGGAUUCAAUAAAAAUUGGCAAGGAAAUACAGCACUUUGAAAAACAUUUGCUAUGUUCUACAAACCCAUUAUUACUUAUGAACCUAUUUAAUAGCUCUCCGUGUAUUCUAGGAUCCAACAUUCUAUAUGGCUAACUCUGAAUAUGAUCUUAGAUUUUAAUAUUUUUCACACGGCAUGCCAAUCCCCCCAAAAUUUCUCCUGCUGUGACCUUCAAUGACCUACAUUUGUUACACUUGAGCAAAAUCAAGUUCAUUGCUAUUCUCAGGCUAUAAUGAAAAUUAAGGCUAUUUCUGUUUCCUUCACAUGCCCCAAAAUUACACAAUUAGAAUUAGGACUUCUAUUAUUGAAUGUUAGUUGUAGUAAUGUUCAGCAUACCAUGCAAAUUUUGCU